CUCACGGCCACCAUGAGUGGGAUCAGCACCUGUUUGCUGAAAGGGCUCUCCACAUGCAGCCAGGUGGAGAGAGGAAAGCUUUGGAAUCAUGGAGAUUUGGGUUCAGAUCUCUGUGUCUCCAUUGGGCCAGUCCACUCCUCUCUGGUUUGCUGUUUAAAUGAGGACAGUGACACCCACUUCUCAGGUGUUGGGGGAAUUGAAGAAAGGUACGUUCUUGCUAGUGGCAAGUGAUCAGCAAGUGGCAGCGGCUGGCAAUGACACUGAAAGGAGUCAUCAGCAUCCCCAUUUCACAGGAAUGCCCCCCUAAACUUCCAG
RNAcentral lists this long non-coding RNA (315 nucleotides) under Homo sapiens (human). RNAcentral's name for it is "HSALNT0215695". Lineage: Eukaryota; Metazoa; Chordata; Mammalia; Primates; Hominidae. The record is from RNAcentral.